UUGCUUGCUGCAUCUUCAGCUUGUUUGACCAAAGCAGUACCUUCAGCAGUAACAUGCUGCUUAAAUAUACUGGAAACAGGAUCUAAGCCUCGAGGAAUUUUGGAAAAGAGCCUAAACAUUCGCGAUAAAUCCUCCACCUUGUCAUCUCUAAGCAAUGCAUGACAUCCAGAGUGUUCCUUUUCAAGCAGUUGGUUUGCAUAUACAGCCAGCAACUCAUGUUGAACUUUCUCCAGCAACUUUGGCUCACUGCUAGAAUGCAAGUAGUGAGAAACCCUAUCUUUCUCCCGCUUUAGACAUUCCUCAGCUUUUAACAUAUAAUCAGGACAAGAAUCUUCUAGAAUCCAGUUGGAUGCCUUCCGAGAAUAAUAAGCAGCUGUAUCUUUAAGCAUUGCCGCUUCAAAGUCAUUCUCAUAGUAAUCCAUCUGCCCCAUUCCAAUUUCAACAAAUAUAUCCAAAACAUUUUUUAAUAAAGCUCGGUCAAUCUGCUCUCCCUCACGCUCCUGGUCAAUCAGAGAAAUUACAGCAUCCCUCACUUUACCAUUUAACUCCUGGUA
This 554-nucleotide unclassified non-coding RNA is filed under the name Hevea brasiliensis (rubber tree). Lineage: Eukaryota; Viridiplantae; Streptophyta; Magnoliopsida; Malpighiales; Euphorbiaceae. The record is from RNAcentral.